AGAAUCAACGCUGGCGGCGUGCCUAACACAUGCAAGUCGAACGAGAAAGUGGAGCAAUCCAUGAGUAAAGUGGCGACCGGGUGAGUAACACGUGACUAACCUACCUUCGAGUGGGGGAUAACCUCGGGAAACCGAGGCUAAUACCGCAUAACAUCGCAAGAUCAAAAGCAGCAAUGCGCUGGAAGAGGGGGGUCGCGGCUGAUUAGCUAGUUGGCGGGGUAAUGGCCCACCAAGGCGAAGAUCGGUAGCCGGCCUGAGAGGGCGCACGGCCACACUGGAACUGAAACACGGUCCAGACUCCUACGGGAGGCAGCAGUGGGGAAUUUUGCGCAAUGGGGAAACCCUGACGCAGCAACGCCGCGUGGAGGAUGAAGCCCCUUGGGGUGUAAACUCCUUUCGACCAAGACGAUAAUGACGGUACUGGUGGAAGAAGCACCGGCUAACUCUGUGCCAGCAGCCGC
Molecule: ribosomal RNA, 461 nt
Filed under: uncultured bacterium
Lineage: Bacteria
Description: SSU rRNA
Rfam family: Bacterial small subunit ribosomal RNA
Source: RNAcentral